Molecule: ribosomal RNA, 253 nt
Filed under: uncultured bacterium
Lineage: Bacteria
Description: partial 16S ribosomal RNA
Rfam family: Bacterial small subunit ribosomal RNA
Source: RNAcentral
GACAGAGGGUGCAAGCGUUGUUCGGAAUUAUUGGGCGUAAAGGGCUCGUAGGUGGCCAACUAAGUCAGACGUGAAAUCCCUCGGCUUAACCGGGGAACUGCGUCUGAUACUGGAUGGCUUGAGUUCGGGAGAGGGAUGCGGAAUUCCAGGUGUAGCGGUGAAAUGCGUAGAUAUCUGGAGGAACACCGGUGGCGAAGGCGGCAUCCUGGACCGACACUGACACUGAGGAGCGAAAGCCAGGGGAGCAAACGGG